GGGGAUUUAGCUCAGUGGUAGAGUGCUUGCCUAGCAAGCACAAGGUCCUGGGUUCGAUCCUCAGCUCCA
This 69-nucleotide transfer RNA is filed under the name Rattus norvegicus (Norway rat). It matches the Rfam family "tRNA". Rfam says of the family: Transfer RNA (tRNA) molecules are approximately 80 nucleotides in length. Their secondary structure includes four short double-helical elements and three loops (D, anti-codon, and T loops). Further hydrogen bonds mediate the characteristic L-shaped molecular structure. tRNAs have two regions of fundamental functional importance: the anti-codon, which is responsible for specific mRNA codon recognition, and the 3' end, to which the tRNAs corresponding amino acid is attached (by aminoacyl-tRNA synthetases). tRNAs cope with the degeneracy of the genetic code in two manners: having more than one tRNA (with a specific anti-codon) for a particular amino acid; and 'wobble' base-pairing, i.e. permitting non-standard base-pairing at the 3rd anti-codon position. Lineage: Eukaryota; Metazoa; Chordata; Mammalia; Rodentia; Muridae. The record is from Rfam by way of RNAcentral.